GCCGGCGUAGCUCAGUUGGCAGAGCGGCUCACUCGUAAUGAGCAGGUCCGGGGUUCGAUUCCCCGCGCCGGCU
RNAcentral lists this transfer RNA (73 nucleotides) under Pseudomonadota bacterium. RNAcentral's name for it is "tRNA-Thr". It matches the Rfam family "tRNA". From Rfam's summary of the family: Transfer RNA (tRNA) molecules are approximately 80 nucleotides in length. The record is from RNAcentral. RNAcentral also lists the same sequence under 1 other name. Lineage: Bacteria; Pseudomonadati; Pseudomonadota.